ACGGCUCAGUAACACGUAGUCAACCUGCCCUAGAGACAUGGACAACCCCGGGAAACUGGGAUUAAUCCGUGAUCGGUCAUCUCAUCUGGAAGGAGAGAUGGCUUAAAGGGAUGCGAGAGCUUCUUUCUUGUAUUUGCUCUAGGAUGGGACUGCGGUCGAUCAGGCUGUUGGUGGGGUAAUGGCCCACCAAACCUGUAACCGAUACGGGCCUUGAGAGAGGGGGCCCGGAGAUGGACACUGAGAGAAGGGUCCAGGUCCUACGGGGCGCAGCAGGCGCGAAACCUUCGCAAUGCGCGAAAGCGUGACGAGGUUAAUCCGAGUGGUCCCCGCUGAGGGGAUCUUUUGUCGGCUGUAAAAAGGCCGGUGAAUAAGGGGAGGGCAAGUCUGGUGUCAGCCGCCGCGGUAAUACCAGCUCCUCGAGUGGUCGGGGCGAUUAUUGGGCCUAAAGCAUCCGUAGCCUGUUCUGUAGGUCCUCUGUUAAAUCCAACGGCUUAACCGUUGGUCAGCAGCGGAUACCGCAGGACUAGGAGGCGGGAGAGGUGGACGGUACUCCACGUGUAGGGGUAAAAUCCUUUGAUCCGUGGAAGACCACCAGUGGCGAAGGCGGUCCACCAGAACGCGCUCGACGGUGAGGGAUGAAAGCUGGGGGAGCGAACCGGAUUAGAUACCCGGGUAGUCCCAGCCGUAAACGAUGCGAGCUAGAUGAUCCGGUCGCAAAUCGCGAUCGGAGUGUCGCAGGGAAGCCGUUAAGCUCGCCGCCUGGGGAGUACGGUCGCAAGACUGAAACUUAAAGGAAUUGGCGGGGGAG
Molecule: ribosomal RNA, 808 nt
Filed under: uncultured archaeon
Lineage: Archaea
Description: bacterial SSU rRNA
Rfam family: Archaeal small subunit ribosomal RNA
Source: RNAcentral